RNAcentral lists this transfer RNA (72 nucleotides) under Tursiops truncatus (common bottlenose dolphin). RNAcentral's name for it is "tRNA-Glu (TTC) (tRNA-Glu-TTC-26-1)". It matches the Rfam family "tRNA". From Rfam's summary of the family: Transfer RNA (tRNA) molecules are approximately 80 nucleotides in length. Lineage: Eukaryota; Metazoa; Chordata; Mammalia; Artiodactyla; Delphinidae. The record is from Rfam by way of RNAcentral. RNAcentral also lists the same sequence under 1 other name.
UCCCUGGUGGUCCAGUGGUUAGGACUUGGCACUUUCACUGCCAUGGCCCAGGUUCAAUCCCUGGUUGGGGAA